CACAGGAUGGCCUUCCAUGCCUGGUGGUUUACCCAACCACAGAUCACAGAUACUCAACAACAAAAACAUGUGUCUAAUGCAGAACAGAUGCGUCUUUCCUGCCUUAAUGCCCCAGAGUCCUCGAAAGCACUGGGACCCGUGUGUCAAUUCCUGAGUUCAGACUUUUCAGGGUCUGAAAUUUACAUCGCAGAGUCCUUUGUUCACUCCCCUUCCUGCACGGCCAGGAAAACACCACUUGGAAUGUCUUCAGCUCGAGGGAGUUUGUUGAGCUCAAACAGACCGCAAGCUCAAACCGAACACUUGUAGAAUCUCAGAACUGUGAUCCGUGUUAAACUCCGGUGUCUUUUCCUGUGCCUGCCUCGUCACGUAUGAACCGAAACAUCAACGUUUCGUCUGCGGUCCCCGGAGGAAGAGGUGGGGCUAUGUAGUUCUUCUUGGCCCUCUACCUGCGUCUAUUUCCUGCUUGUAUUUGGAAGGUCAUCUCUCCUGUUUACAAAAUUCAAUAAAUAGAAACUCCAGCCUUCAAAGCUCAUAAAUCAUUGAGAAAGGGUUCUAUGCAAAGAAAGGCCUGGAUUCUAGUCUCGACCUUGUCUGUAACAAGCUACAUUUCUCAGUAAAUCACUCCUAGCUGGAGGGUCAGCACCCCAUCAGGGAAGGCCUGGGAAUACCUUUCCCUGCUCUGUGAGCAGGUCAGGGUCCGUGAAUGGAUUACAGAAACCAAUAC
RNAcentral lists this long non-coding RNA (724 nucleotides) under Rattus norvegicus (Norway rat). Its description in RNAcentral is "long non-coding RNA NONRATT033282". Lineage: Eukaryota; Metazoa; Chordata; Mammalia; Rodentia; Muridae. The record is from RNAcentral.